AUUGAACGCUGGCGGCAUGCCUUACACAUGCAAGUCGAACGGUAACAGGUCUUCGGAUGCUGACGAGUGGCGAACGGGUGAGUAAUACAUCGGAACGUGCCUAGUAGUGGGGGAUAACUACUCGAAAGAGUGGCUAAUACCGCAUGAGAUCUACGGAUGAAAGCAGGGGAUCGCAAGACCUUGUGCUACUAGAGCGGCCGAUGGCGGAUUAGGUAGUUGGUGGGAUAAAAGCUUACCAAGCCGACGAUCUGUAGCUGGUCUGAGAGGACGAUCAGGCACACUGGGACUGAGACACGGCCCAGACUCCUACGGGGGGAAGUAGUGGGGAAUUUUGGACAAUGCGCGCAAGCCUGAUCCAGCAAUGCCGCGUGCAGGAUGAAGGCCUUCGGGUUGUAAACUGCUUUUGUACGGAACGAAAAGCCCCGGGUUAAUACCCUGGGGUCAUGACGGUACCGUAAGAAUAAGCACCGGCUAACUACGUGCCAGCAGCCGCAGUAA
RNAcentral lists this ribosomal RNA (498 nucleotides) under uncultured bacterium. RNAcentral describes it as "partial 16S ribosomal RNA". It matches the Rfam family "Bacterial small subunit ribosomal RNA", at positions 30 to 523 of the family's 1533-position model. The record is from RNAcentral.